RNAcentral lists this long non-coding RNA (379 nucleotides) under Mustela putorius furo (domestic ferret). Its description in RNAcentral is "lncRNA (ENSMPUG00000029825.1)". Lineage: Eukaryota; Metazoa; Chordata; Mammalia; Carnivora; Mustelidae. The record is from RNAcentral.
CCUCUAGGCAAACUGGCAAAAUUAGAAGAAAAAUGGCUUAUGGGUUUGCAGUUUGAGAACGAGCCGCCGGAUUUUACCCAACUUAAAAGCUUUCAUCUUUCUUCGUCAGUGUUCCUGAAACUUACCUGACCAUAAAUGUUGCCUGCAGUACUUGUGAAAAACACUGUUUCUCUGUCCUCAGGCUAGGGCAAGGAACCAGAACGGAAUCUCUGGACAGAGAGGUCUACUGAUACAACGAAGUUUGAAAAUCGCUCUUCUAAAUAAAUCCUGACUAACCAAGGAUAUCAAGUUCAUCAUCUAGGGUAAUUCCCACUUCUUUCACAGACUCUACUAGACAAUUAUAAUCCUACAAAGUUUCUAUUCAUUCAAUUCUUCAAGG